CUUGCCACUUUCUUUGGUCACUUUGUAUGCUUUUUUUAUUUAUUACCUUACAUAUUCUGGAAAGCUAUGGUAGAUCAUUUACUUAAAGCAUCACAAAUUCUUUGGAGGAAGAGUGCAAAGCAAACAAGGAAUCAUUCCCUUUACCCAUGCCAUGAGGUCAACAAGGAAUAACCGAGCCUUCAAACCAACUAAACCCCAAGAAACCAGG
RNAcentral lists this long non-coding RNA (208 nucleotides) under Elaeis guineensis (African oil palm). Its description in RNAcentral is "long non-coding RNA (EGUI_LNC022614)". Lineage: Eukaryota; Viridiplantae; Streptophyta; Magnoliopsida; Arecales; Arecaceae. The record is from RNAcentral.